Molecule: ribosomal RNA, 462 nt
Filed under: uncultured beta proteobacterium
Lineage: Bacteria; Pseudomonadati; Pseudomonadota; Betaproteobacteria
Description: bacterial SSU rRNA
Rfam family: Bacterial small subunit ribosomal RNA
Source: RNAcentral
AGAAAAGCAGGGGAUCGUCAAGACCUUGCGUUAAUGGAGCGGCCGAUAUCUGAUUAGCUAGUUGGUGGGGUAAAGGCCCACCAAGGCUUCGAUCAGUAGCUGGUCUGAGAGGACGACCAGCCACACUGGAACUGAGACACGGUCCAGACUCCUACGGGAGGCAGCAGUGGGGAAUUUUGGACAAUGGGCGCAAGCCUGAUCCAGCCAUUCCGCGUGAGUGAAGAAGGCCUUCGGGUUGUAAAGCUCUUUCGCAAGGGAAGAAAACUUACCUUCUAAUAAAGGGUGAGGCUGACGGUACCUUGAUAAGAAGCACCGGCUAACUACGUGCCAGCAGCCGCGGUAAUACGUAGGGUGCGAGCGUUAAUCGGAAUUACUGGGCGUAAAGCGUGCGCAGGCGGUUUUGUAAGUCAGAUGUGAAAGCCCCGGGCUCAACCUGGGAACUGCGUUUGAAACUACAAAGCU